CCUACGGGAGACAGCAGUGAGGAAUAUUGGUCAAUGGACGCAAGCCUGACCCAGCAAAGCCGCGUGAAGGAAGAAGGCUUUCUGGUUGUAAAAUUCUUUUCUCAGGUACGAAGAAAGUGACGGUACCUGAUGAUUAAGCCACGGCUAACUACGUGCCAGCAGCCCCGGUAAUACGUAGGUGCCAAGAUUUAUCCGGAUUUAUUGGUUUUAAGGGGUGAGUAGGCGGAUUUUUAAGUCAGCGGUAAAAUUUCCGGGCUCAACCCGGGCCGGCCGUUGAAACUGGGAAUCUUGAGUGGGCGAGAAGUAUGCGGAAUGCGUGGUGUAGCGGUGAAAUGCAUAGAUAUCACGCAGAACUCCGAUUGCGAAGGCAGCAUACCGGCGCCUGACUGACACUGAUGCACGAAAGCGUGGGGAUCGAACAGGAUUAGAUACCCUUGUAGUC
Molecule: ribosomal RNA, 442 nt
Filed under: uncultured bacterium
Lineage: Bacteria
Description: partial 16S ribosomal RNA
Rfam family: Bacterial small subunit ribosomal RNA
Source: RNAcentral